AACGAACGCUGGCGGUAUGCCUAACACAUGCAAGUCGAACGACACCUUCGUGUCUGCUGGCGCACGGGUGCGUAACGCGUGGGAACCUGCCCUUAGGCUUGGAAUAACACCUUGAAAGGGGUGCUAAUACCGGUAAAUGUCUUCGAACAAAAGAUUCAUCGACCUUGUAUGGGCAUGCGAUGGAUUAGCUAGUUGGUAGGGUAAAAGCCUACCACGGCGACGAUCACUAGCUGGGUUGAGAGUAUGAUCAGACACACUUGCACUGAGACACGGCCCAGACUCCUACACGAGGCAGCAGAGCAGGAUAUUGGACAAUGGGCGAAGUGAAGAACCAGCAAUGCCUCUUGAGUGAUGAAGUCCUUAGAGAAGAGCAGCACGUUUACCCGGGAUGAUACUGACGGUACCGGGAGAAUAAGCCCCGGCUAACUCCGUG
Molecule: ribosomal RNA, 433 nt
Filed under: uncultured bacterium
Lineage: Bacteria
Description: partial 16S ribosomal RNA
Rfam family: Bacterial small subunit ribosomal RNA
Source: RNAcentral